Jaculus jaculus (lesser Egyptian jerboa) is the source of this 192-nucleotide small nuclear RNA. Its record names the gene U2. It matches the Rfam family "U2 spliceosomal RNA". From Rfam's summary of the family: U2 is a small nuclear RNA (snRNA) component of the spliceosome (involved in pre-mRNA splicing). Complementary binding between U2 snRNA (in an area lying towards the 5' end but 3' to hairpin I) and the branchpoint sequence (BPS) of the intron results the bulging out of an unpaired adenosine, on the BPS, which initiates a nucleophilic attack at the intronic 5' splice site, thus starting the first of two transesterification reactions that mediate splicing. NCBI's taxonomy places the organism in Eukaryota, Metazoa, Chordata, Mammalia, Rodentia, Dipodidae. The record is from Ensembl.
AUCAAUCAUAUGGGCUUCAGGCCCAGGUCAAGUGUAGUAUCUCUUCUUAUCCAUUUAAUAUGUGAUAUGUCAGCAAUCUGAGGACAAUAUAGGCAAUGGUUUUCUAGGGUGGGAAGAUGGAAAAGGAGCCUUCUCUACACGCUCUACACCAUCAACCUGGCUCUGCAAUGCCUCAGGAAUGGUCCAUCCUGU